RNAcentral lists this ribosomal RNA (504 nucleotides) under uncultured bacterium. Its description in RNAcentral is "partial 16S ribosomal RNA". It matches the Rfam family "Bacterial small subunit ribosomal RNA", at positions 30 to 523 of the family's 1533-position model. The record is from RNAcentral.
AUUGAACGCUGGCGGCAUGCUUUACACAUGCAAGUCGAACGGCAGCAUGGGUGCUUGCACCUGAUGGCGAGUGGCGAACGGGUGAGUAAUGUAUCGGAACAUAUCCGCAAGUGGGGGAUAACGUAGCGAAAGUUACGCUAAUACCGCAUAUUCACUGAGGGGGAAAGGAGGGGAUGCGCAAGGACCUUUCGCUUACGGAGGGGCCGAUAUCAGAUUAGCUAGUUGGUGAGGUAAAGGCUCACCAAGGCUUCGAUCUGUAGCGGGUCUGAGAGGAUGAUCCGCCACACUGGGACUGAGACACGGCCCAGACUCCUACGGGAGGCAGCAGUGGGGAAUUUUGGACAAUGGGGGCAACCCUGAUCCAGCCAUGCCGCGUGAGUGAAGAAGGCCUUCGGGUUGUAAAGCUCUUUCAGCUGGAAAAAAAUCGCUUCACCUAAUACGUGGAGUGGAUGAUGGUACCAGCAGAAGAAGCACCGGCUAACUACGUGCCAGCCGCCGCAGUAA